AAUAAGCAAUAUUUGUUUGAGAAUUAUCUUGUGGAUAUCCUUAAAUUAACCUUUGGACACUUCUAUAAACCAACUAACAAAUGUUGUUUUGUUGGGUAGUUCAUUGUAAUCCUACAAUAGGAUUUGCCUAAGAUAGAGCAAAUGAACGAGAGAUAGAACUCAAAGAAUGGGUUCUUUGAGAGACAAGAUGAUAAUCAACAAAUAUAACAACCUAGUUCCUACACCACUAGCUCCAAGGUAGUCGAGAAGGAUCUAUAAACCGUCUUAGUUGAAUGGUUUGAACUUUAUGACUAUGUCAUAGAGUUACACCUCUUAAUUCGAACGAAAUAAGAAUGAAAAUCCUUAUGACUACAUUGAGUUUACAUACGACAUAAACUCAAGGAAAUGGUAAAGUACCAUUUGACCCGAAAUAGUGAAACCUUUAAUAGCUAAUUGGUAGCUUAAGGUGACUACAAUCAAAGAGAUUGGUUGACUUGGAAGAAACCAUCUUUGACGUAGUCUUGGUUCCAAUUAAUUCAAAGAUUGCUAGCUACAACUAAAUGGUGAUUCAAUGUUUGGACAUAAUAUGGGUUUCCGAAACCAUUAUUAAGAUAGUCUUGAUAAUAUAUGUCUAAAACUAUGAAUCACAAGACAUGUAAGUUGUAGAGAUCCAUCCAUCAUGAAUCUUAGCAAGCUAGUGGGAGCUAUAAGCGUCUUAUGAGAGAAAGAUCAAAUCGUUUGAUUUCUCAUAAAGAUGUAAAUGAAUCUUUUGUUUACUAGGUUUACAAAAGAUUAGUGGGAGUCAAUCAUAUUCCUAAAUUUGAAUAUAUACAUAUAUGAUAUAUUAAUUCUGGAAAUGAAAACUUCUUCGUUAAAGUUAUGACUUUAAACAUUCUAUAACGAUAGAAUGUAUAUGGGAGACAUAGUCUUUAAACAUGGGAUGGAAAUCUAUAAUGAUAGAUUUCAGGAUAUAAUUGGAUUAUAUCAAGCCCUAAUGGUAGACAAAAGAUGCUAGGAAGUUUCUCAUAUGAUGAUAAACUUCAAUCAGAAGAACAACUCUAGUGAGACUAGGAGGUAACUCUUCUCAAAGGGAACGUACCCUUUGACUCCCAAAGAAAUAAUGUGUAAAUAGAAUCCUUUAUGUAUAUGCAGAAAGGUGAUUUAUAUAUUUCAUAUUGUAUGAAAAACGUUGAUAUGAGUUAUACCAAGAUCGGUACAAGACGAUAUCAAUGCAAGCCCAGGAUCAGAACCAUGGCAACUGUCAAGUGAAUCCUUAAGUAUUUGAGAAAUAAUAAAGGAUGGAUUCCUCAAGAAUGAGGAAGAAUUAGAGUAACGUAAUGGAAGCGUAAAUGUAUUCGAUUAUGAAUCUAAUCCAUCAUUGGAUGUUUCUUCAUUAUGAAUGAAGAGAUAAUCAGAUAUCUCUUUGUUAUGACUAAAGAGAUAUUUGGAUGGAAACAUUAAAAGUAAUAACUUUAGUGUGUUCCAUUGUGAAUGCAAAAUAUAUUUCCAUAUAGAAGCUUACAACAAUGUUGUUUGGAUGAGAAAGUUCAUUCAUGAACUUUCUAUUCGAUUCCAACCAGAAAGUAUCUCUAGUGUACCGACACUACGACACUAAUGGGGCGAUAGCUCAAGCCAGGGAAUCAAGGUCUCAUCAUGAUCCGAACUCAAAUGAGAGACUAAACCACAUGAUUAAAAAUCAUGUAUAAUGGUGACGUCGUUAUUCUCAAGGUUGCUUCUAUGGAUAACAUAUAGAUAUCCAUUGUCUAGGCCUACUACUCAACCAUUUUUGAAAUGACCACAGAAGAGGUAUCAUCAUUGAUGACCAAGUUGAUUGACUCUAGUGCAAGUGGGAGAUUGUUGGAAAUGUGCCCUAAAACCAAUCAUAUGAUGAUACUUUACGGACAUGUCACAUGUUAAACUAAUAUAGUUUAAUUUAAAGGGAAAAUAUUAUUGUUUAAAGCCGUCUCAUAUAAAUGUUAUACGCUUAAACGAUAAGUCCAAGGAAUAUGUAAUUGGGAGAAUACGAUCUAAAGAAGUUAGAUUCAUGAGACCAUUCUCUUUCGUAUACAUAUCAUAAACGUUCCUGAUCAUAGGAUUGCCAAUUGGGCAUUGACAGUCCGUUAAGAUCAGUACGUGUUAUGUCUUCUCUUAGGGAGAGUGACUGGUCUCGAGUUAUUGGUGUGACUGACACCAAGACAAGUACGUAGGUGCUCAAUAGAGAAUGAGUUCACUGAACGCGAUCAACAAGGAGUUCUCAUACUCAUGUCACAUGAGAACUCAUGGUUGUGAUAAUGCAAAGUAGUCAUUUGACCUGAGGCAUCAUAGUUGUCUUGUGGUUAGGUCCUUGAUCUUUGACUAUGUCAAAGUCACUCCAUCCGAGGUGUCCACGACAUAGUUGGGGUUAAGCCACUUAGCCAUGAAGGCAAGUGAAUGCGUAACAAGGGAUCUCUAACGUUCAAACUAUUUGAGAGAGAAUACUCUAUAAUAUGAUUAAGAAUCUCUGGCCAGAGUAUGAAUGAGAUUUAGGAAGUCGUUCCAAAUCACAUUCAAGGUAAUCA
RNAcentral lists this long non-coding RNA (2537 nucleotides) under Malus domestica (apple). RNAcentral describes it as "long non-coding RNA (MDOM_LNC001972)". Lineage: Eukaryota; Viridiplantae; Streptophyta; Magnoliopsida; Rosales; Rosaceae. The record is from RNAcentral.